RNAcentral lists this ribosomal RNA (483 nucleotides) under uncultured bacterium. RNAcentral's name for it is "bacterial SSU rRNA". It matches the Rfam family "Bacterial small subunit ribosomal RNA", at positions 36 to 507 of the family's 1533-position model. The record is from RNAcentral.
CUAGCUACAGGCUUAACACAUGCAAGUCGAGGGGAAACGAUAUUGGAAGCUUGCUUCUGAUAGGCGUCGACCGGCGCACGGGUGAGUAACGCGUAUCCAACCUGCCCAUCACUUGGGGAUAACCUUGCGAAAGUAAGACUAAUACCCAAUGACGUCUCUAGAAGACAUCUGAAGGAGAUUAAAGAUUUAUCGGUGAUGGAUGGGGAUGCGUCUGAUUAGCUUGUUGCGGGGUAACGGCCCACCAAGGCGACGAUCAGUAGGGGUUCUGAGAGGAAGGUCCCCCACAUUGGAACUGAGACACGGUCCAAACUCCUACGGGAGGCAGCAGUGAGGAAUAUUGGUCAAUGGACGAGAGUCUGAACCAGCCAAGUAGCGUGCAGGAUGACGGCCCUAUGGGUUGUAAACUGCUUUUAUAAGGGAAUAAAGUGAGUCUCGUGAGGCUUUUUGCAUGUACCUUAUGAAUAAGGACCGGCUAAUUCCGUG